CUGGGAUGAUUUAGUUGGGGAUUGGUCCUGCUUUGAGCAGGGGGUUGGACUAGAUGACCUCCUGAAGUCUCUUCCAACCCUAAUCUUCUAUGAUUCUAUGAAAGAACAGAAAUUUAAGUGAUACUAUGGAAGAGAAAAAAAAAAGACAGGUACAAGCAAAAUAAAACAAAACAUGGUUUCUAGUGUCUAAAUUUUAAGAGAUUACAAUAUUCGUCUCAUGCAAUUUCUCACCUAUAGUUAGUUUCCAGAAAUUUCCACCCACAAGGUUGAAGGAUCUAUCUUUCACAGAUUCCUAGGGCUCUGGCCUCUUCUGUCCCUUAAGUGACAGAUAACUAAAAUGUCUUUUUGUUCCCUGUAUAUUUCCCGAAGUCCAUUGUUUCUGCCCCAAGAGCCAGGAAGGCUUCAAGGGGUGCGGACUGUGUUCCCUGAUGUGCUUGUCUCCUCCACCACUCGUUAGCUUGAUGACUGUUUACCUUAUGUGUAAGUAUACUUUCAUUGUCCUCUGCCUGUAAUGAAGCAGGCAGACAGGUAAAUCUACAUUCCUGUAUCUAGGUUUUGUCAGGAUGGUGAAUGCAUUGCCUCCCAAACACAUUUUAGGAACGUAUUUUCAGUACACUUAUAAAACUUUGUACACAACAUAUAUUUACAUCACACAAUGAUUUUUGCGACCAGCAUGUCACCAGUUUACAUAUGAUACCCAUACAUAUUAUGACAACAGUGUGUUGGGCAGUGAGUGUGUCAGGCCUGAUAUAAGUUACAAUAUAGUAGGCCCUCUGCCAGUUGUUAUUGAGGGGCUCUUAGGGUUACAAUCUCCACCACACUUUAAGUCCACCAAAUGAACACUUCAGUCCCAGCAGGUAGAAGAUGCUGGCAUCAAGGUUUGUAUAGUUUGGGUACAGGCUUUAUAACCAAGAAGAGCCGUGCAUAUGCAGGGUCUCCAAUUAUCACAGUAGGUGAUGGAGACCCCAUUCUGUGUCUAUGUUGUGAGGUAGAAAGAUUGUGUCCUUCUGUUCACUCCUGAAUAUUUCAGAGUUGGUUAAAAAGCAAAUCGGGGAUCAGGCACUUCGCAAUUCUAUAGUAUGUAAAUAUCUAGACAUUGGCCUCAGUGAUUCACCAGUGCUUACAUGGAGUGAUAGUAUUUGCUGUUAAAAUAUUCCUUGGCUUCAUUGCAGGUACUAUCUAUAGGCUCAGUAGCGUGCAGGAAGCUCAGCUGCCCAAAUCCCUUGAUUUGCCACUGAACAAAUGCCACUGCAGCAGUGGAUGUAUUGUCCUCUACACCUCCAGCAGAAUAGAACCCAUGUGGACUUCCAACACCCUCCAGCCUGGUACUUCUGUGAGGAAGCCAGACUCCCCAGGCAUUCACCUCUCUCUUUUUCACAGGGAGUGCACCUCUCAUCCUUGGAGGUGUGGCGCUGCACUGUUGGGAUCAAGUCUCCACAGAGAGAGAUAAAGGUCUCCAUCCACAUUGAGAAGUUCUGUACACUGCUGCUCAUCCCAAGUCUCGGGAACCAUUCUUUCCCACUAUUCUGUGAUCGUGGUUCAGACCCCAAAUAGCAUUUCCCCUGGUAUAGUUUGCCAUCAGGCGUGACAGAGGGCAGGGCAUUAGGAGUAAAAUAACAAAUAAACAUGCAUCAGAAUUGGCAAGCUCUGUUCCAGCAAAAUGUUUAAAAGUUCACUGUGUAAACUCUACACAAUGGGAUUAAAAGGAAGCAUUGACUCAG
Long non-coding RNA from Dermochelys coriacea (leatherback sea turtle), 1721 nucleotides. RefSeq lists it as uncharacterized. The transcript has 2 exons. The record is from RefSeq and is a predicted model, not a curated record. Lineage: Eukaryota; Metazoa; Chordata; Testudines; Dermochelyidae.